Molecule: ribosomal RNA, 541 nt
Filed under: uncultured bacterium
Lineage: Bacteria
Description: bacterial SSU rRNA
Rfam family: Bacterial small subunit ribosomal RNA
Source: RNAcentral
UAAGGAAUAUUGGACAAUGGACGCAAGUCUGAUCCAGCCAUGCCGCGUGAAGGAUGAAUGCCCUCUGGGUUGUAAACUUCUUUUACAGGGGAAGAAAGUUAUCUUUUUUAGGAUAUUUGACGGUACCCUAUGAAUAAGCACCGGCUAACUCCGUGCCAGCAGCCGCGGUAAUACGGAGGGUGCAAGCGUUAUCCGGAUUCACUGGGUUUAAAGGGUGCGUAGGCGGGUAUGUAAGUCAGUGGUGAAAUACCGGAGCUUAACUUCGGAACUGCCAUUGAUACUAUAUAUCUUGAAUAUUGUGGAGGUAAGCGGAAUAUGUCAUGUAGCGGUGAAAUGCUUAGAGAUGACAUAGAACACCGAUUGCGAAGGCAGCUUGCUACGCAAAUAUUGACGCUGAGGCACGAAAGCGUGGGGAUCAAACAGGAUUAGAUACCCUGGUAGUCCACGCCCUAAACGAUGAUUACUCGACAUUAGCGAUACACAGUUAGUGCCUGAGCGAAAGCAUUAAGUAAUCCACCUGGGAAGUACGACCGCAAGGUUG